RNAcentral lists this ribosomal RNA (198 nucleotides) under uncultured bacterium. Its description in RNAcentral is "partial 16S ribosomal RNA". It matches the Rfam family "Bacterial small subunit ribosomal RNA", at positions 326 to 538 of the family's 1533-position model. The record is from RNAcentral.
ACGCUCGACACCUACGGUAGGCAGCAGUGGGGGAUAUUGCACAAUGGGGGAAACCCUGAUGCAGCAACGCCGCGUGAAGGAAGAAGGUCUUCGGAUUGUAAACUUCUGUCCUCAGGGAAGAUAAUGACGGUACCUGAGGAGGAAGCUCCGGCUAACUACGUGCCAGCAGCCGUGGUAGUAUGNGCGGCGNGNGACGAG